Ctenopharyngodon idella (grass carp) is the source of this 3887-nucleotide long non-coding RNA. RefSeq lists it as uncharacterized. The record is from RefSeq and is a predicted model, not a curated record. Lineage: Eukaryota; Metazoa; Chordata; Actinopteri; Cypriniformes; Xenocyprididae. The transcript is spliced from 4 exons.
AAGUAAAGCUGUGUGAAGUCAUCAUGUGUUUAUUCACUGGCAUCUUAAGCGUGAGUAACUUCGAUUUUCAUCAGGUGCAAUCCCAACAUUCCCGAUUGAACAGAAUCAGAAUGGCCUUUCGUGUUGAUUAUGUCUACAAACCCAAUGAUAUCGAUAAAACUGACAAUGACCUGAGCAUUUUAAGGGCUAAAUUAUCAUGCGGUCACGUCACGUCUGCCAAGACUUUAGUGGAAUGCUGCACAGAUCAGCUGAAGAAUGGACAAGUGGAACUGAAAUGUCCAAUAUGUACAAAAGUGUGGCCAUUUGGUGAAGUGAAAACGUUACUUACACAUCAGCAACAACUUUAUUUUAAAGACACACUUUGGGAAAAUGCUGCAAAGAAGAUGAUUGAAAUCAAAGGGUGUCCUGGUUGUGGUUCAUUCGUUGAAAGAAAACACUCUUCUAACCUCUGCGUUCAGUGUCCAUUCUGCCCAGUAAAGAUGGGGAAAACAUAUGAGUUCUGCUGGCAGUGUGGGAGAAACUGGAAAGGGCCUCGACCUCGCACUGAUAAAUGUGAUAACCUGGGUUGUUCCAGCAGUGACUUAAAUAUGCUAAGAAACUGUAAAAUGAUUAGUCUGGUAUAUUCUGGAGACAAAAUCAUUCAGUGUCCAUCGAUUCGUGCCUGUCCGGAUUGUGGCAUGCUGAUUGAACACACUGGAGGGUGUAAGCGAAUGGUAUGCUGCAGUUGUAAAAGGUCAUUCUGCUUUGUCUGUCUAAAAUCUUCUAAUGGCUGUUGUACAUCCGGUGCUGCACCAAGACAAACAUCAAUUCCUUAGAAUCUCAAAUCUCAAUUAUUGACCAAAUGUUAUGUCUUUUUGAUUAGAAUUAUUUGUAAUGGAUUAUGCAUUGUGGAAGUGAUCAAUAAUGUGAACAAAGUUUACAGUAGGGAUGCACCGAUGCCAUUUUUUAAGGACUGAGUACGAGUACCGAUACUUUUUUCUAGUACUCGCCGAUACCGAUGCCUAUACAUUUAUUAAUUUCUCUCUCUUUUUUUCUUUUUUUUGGUGAUGAUGCAAUUUUCCAAGCACAACACAGUGAGACUAAUGAAUGUAGGACAGCUUCUUUAUUAUUACUCUAAUGAAAAAAGUAAUAAUUUUUAUGUGCUUGUCACAAACUUAAAGAGCAAAAAUUUCACAGUGUCCAAUAACCUUCAAAGGGCAUAAUUACCAAUAUAUAUAAUUGUUGUUAUAUAAAAAGAAAUUUACAAACAAAUUACAAACAAUACAACAAAUACUAUAGAAAUACAAAUUAAAUAAACUUGUUUUUCAGAUACAGUAGGUUUAUUUACCAUGUAUACAUUUAUUUAACAUCUUUUGUUGUUUUAUUAACAUUAAUGACAAAUAUAGGCUACGGUCCCUUUAAGACCGAGUCCAUGGAUACUGAAAAUAUCCUGUUUUCACCAUAAUGUUUACGUCCACUUAAGCCAUAACCAACUGUAUUUACGUGAGAUACUCCACACGAUGGACAUUUUGACAACUAUGUGUGCAUUUGACCAUUCAGGCGCGAGGAGAACUGAUCGCGCGCAAGAAAGAGAGAGCGCGUGCGCGAGAGAGAGCGCUUCAUUCAGCGCGAUUCCGCCUUCGCUAAUCAUAACGAAUUGUGAUUGAAAGCAUGCAGUUCGCAAUGUGUGGGCUGUCAUCAUUCAUUUUGAAGUAUUUCCACACCUCUGAGGCUGACAUUGUUUCUGCUGCUGCCGCCGGUGUCUCUGUGCACGGGAAAUUCUGUCACGUGAGGUAUCGGUCUUUGGUAUCGGGCCCGAUAUUGAUACUGGUAUCGGUGCAUCCCUAGUUUACAGUUUUUCUCAAUCACUGUCUCAAUUCUUGAAUGAGAUUUUUUCUCUCUCAAAACAAGAAGUUUAGAUCUCUGAACAAUUAGUUUCUUGUUCACAUCAGAUUUAAGUUUCUGAAUGAUUCAGUUUUAUUUUGCUAGGACACAUUUCUCAAUACAUGGGUCACGUUUUUAAAACUCUUCACACAGUGAUCACAUCAGAAAUAUAUGUGGGCUAAACUGUAGAUCAUUUAUCAUCACUUAGGCACAAAAUACAUUAAAUUUACAUUAAUUGUUUUCUCACUUAGACACAAACACAACCAAAACUCUAUAUAUAUCAUACAGGCCAAUUUGCACAUGUUUUCAUUCUCUUUUCAAAACUGUUAAACUUAAGUUCAGAACCUAACAUAAUACAACAUUGAAUAAGACAGAAAUUUGCCACAUUUCUACGGUAAUACCAUAUUGAAAUGUAUUCUAAAUCAUAAAAUUAAAUACUAUCAAAACAAUUAGAUGUAUCUGAACACCUGCGCAGGUCUUAGUCUUUCAGUUUCAUCACCAUCUAUUCAAAAAGGGGAAACUUAGGAAUUAAAUUUUGUACAGUAAUGUAAACAUGGACCAUGUAACAUAAGCUGCAUUGAAUUAUAAACAGUUGUAGUAGAGUGUCAUGUAAAAAAUGGCAUGUAAAGAAACUUUACAAAAGAAAUCAUUGUGUAAUGCUCCUGUUAUUAGUGUUUUUAAGCUCAUUGUUUUAUGUCUGCUAAACUGGCAAAUGUAAUUCAGUGUGAUUCACAAUCUUACCAGUCAACCUUGCUUGUAGAACAGAAAUAAUAAGAUGUGUAAGAAUGUGUGGUGUUAGAGAAAACAUGACACACAUUGUUGGUUUUUUGUUUUUCUUGCAUGGAUGCCAUUUUCUGUUCACUAUAGACAUAUGUAAGACUAUAAAAAUGGACAUGUAAAUGUGAAUUUUGUGUCUAUAUGUAACACACUGCUACAAAAAUAAAUGUACUGUAUAAAUACAAAUGUGCAUAUUCUUGUGUACUAACUCAUUGACUUUUCCCUGUAAGUUUUACCUACUGCUGAAAUCUGUAUCUAAAAAUCUCAGUGUGAGACACAAGAGCAUUGAGUUAUAGACAAAACUGAUAUUCUUUUAUAAUAUAGUAAGCAUACGUCACCAAAAAGUAGAACAACAAUAUAUAUGUAUAUAACAAACAUUUACAGAGUCGACUGCUGUGAUGGAAAAAAAAGAAACAUUUUGACCAGUGUGGCUCGCUACAUGACAAAAACACUUUUUAUGUUGGUGGCAUUGGCCAAUUUACUGACACAAAAACUCAGUUUUGAAUUAAGCAUGAAUUAAAAGUUUUAGGUGAGUAACUACCUUGCAAUAGAGUUCAGAUGUUCCAGCGAACAGUUGUGAAAAUUGCACUUACAGUUUAGAGAAUGUUAAGUCUGUUAUGUACAGUAUGUCACUGUUAUUUUCACUCCUGCAGCUUCAAAGAAAUCCCUUUUUUUCUGUUCAAAAUCGUGUUUGUAACAAAUAUUCUGUUUGUUUGAUGUGAAAGGGACUUUAUUACCCAUCUAUAUGUGCAGUGACCCUUCCUUCUAAGUGGACAAGUGAACCCAAACCAUGCCGGCAAAAUGCCUCCCACAAGUAACCGGGUAACUUAAUAACUCCAUAUGUGAAAGUGUGUAUUAUUAAUUAAGCAGAUAUCAGUUUGGGGCUAAAUGAAAAUACACCAUGUGGAUUUGAUAAUAAUUGACAAAUUCCAGAGUUUUGUUUGUUGUGUUUGGAUAAAUGGUACAUAAAUGUUUGUGAUUUGUGCAAAACCAAUAAAAAUAGCUGUGAUUGUUUUUUUUGUUUUUUUUUCUGAUAUAUUAAAGUUUUGGUUGGAUGUAUGAACUAUUAUGAAAACAUCUGAGAAUUUUAGUGUUUUCAGAAAAUGGUUCACAUGAUUUGAAAUCAAUGAAAACUUACAAUUCGUUUAGGACAAUAACAAAGUGUUCAGACUACUGAGUUAACUGUUUUGAGAACAGUGAUCUGAAUUUGGAGAAAUGUGUCAAAUCAAUCACUUCAGUUGUUCGAA